Molecule: ribosomal RNA, 212 nt
Filed under: uncultured bacterium
Lineage: Bacteria
Description: partial 16S ribosomal RNA
Rfam family: Bacterial small subunit ribosomal RNA
Source: RNAcentral
AGUUCGGAUUGCAGGCUGCAACCCGCCUGCAUGAAGUCGGAAUCGCUAGUAAUCGCGAGUCAGCAUAUCGCGGUGAAUACGUUCCCGGGUCUUGUACACACCGCCCGUCACACCAUGGGAGUUGGCAACACCCGAAGUCGAUGAGCUAACCUUUUAGGAGGCAGUCGCCUAAGGUGGGGUUGAUAACUGGGGUGAAGUCGUAACAAGGUAGC